UUCCAUAUCGGUGGUCUACUUUCUCUAAUGAUGACGAUAUGGAAAGCAACUGCAAGAAACGUAAUACAUUAGGCUACUGUUAAGGACGCAAAGCUUUUCUUUUUCUCCGCAAAGCUGUUGUCGCCCAUAUUCGGUUAUUUAAAUUUAACGUUAAGUAUAUAUAUUUACGCAACUGGUAGGCUCAUAAGUACCAUAAACCUCCUUCAUAACAGUGAUUUGCUUUCGGCGAUCACUGUGCUCUCUAGUAGUGGCUAUCCGUGCCGCUUCGAAUACAAGCCAGAAAGCUGAGCAGCAAACGUCAUCCGGUGUCAAGUGUUCGGGCCGUCACACUAAAUGAGUAAGAGCUCAUUCCCUGAUUACAGAAGUCAUUACAGGGUCAACCGAGGGACGAAGAGGGGAACAGGAAUGAAGUCUGGCAGUGAAAGAGGUUUGGAAGGGAGUGAGCGAGGCAUUCUUAAAAGAGGGAAGCCAGUUACCCUGCCGUGUGCUCAUUCUUAAUAAAAUACAGACAUCAAACAGGCUAGCUCCUUCAGCUCCUAGGAUGGUAACCUUGGCUACGGGAACCGGGGCUUCCGUGCUGUGAAGGCGGAGCUGGCUGCCAAAAAUGCAGCCCAUUGGCUAAGCCCCCAAACAAGAGACAAUGAUUGGCCAUAAAUCACCGGAGUCUCGGAGCUCGUAGGAGAAGUGUUCCAGGCUCGCCUGUCAUAGUUCCUGUUCCUUCACUCAGUGACUGAUCCCUGCUAAGAAAACACCUUUCACAGAGCAGCAUGAGCCACCAGACCUCAGUGUUGCUGUUGGCACCUGCAUGGGAGAGCAGUGGACCUUAGAAAAGGGGCCCAGUAUUGUUCCAACAGCUAGCAAGAACAGGAAGGACAGCUUCAUGAACUCUGAAAUCAUGCGUUUUUCUUUGUUUUUUUCCAGGAAGUGCAAAUUUAGUGCCUUGAAAUUAAUUUCAAAUGAAGCCACGGUUAUCUAAUUCAACACCUUGGUUUGAGUUUUCACUGUGGUGAGUAACUAUGCCCAGAGUAAACAGCCACCACGCCAGCUGUACAAUCACACACACACACACAGGCACACACACAGGACACAUAUGGAUGCAUGCAUGAAUGUGCAAAUACACACACACACAUCUGUUACCCCAUUAGCCACAGCCAGUAAAAAAAACAGCAACGCAGGGUACUUUAAUACCUUUAGGAGUGUGUUUAGAAUCUUCCUUCCAAAAUUGCUGGAUCGUCAUUCACUGUGCUAUAACCAUAGGAAGCAGCAAAAGUAUGGAAACUAUAUUUAAAUGUACUCAACAUGUCAGAUUGAGAGAUUGAGGGCAAGCUAGGUGUGAUGGCUUUGUGAAAAUAAUGUAGAAUGUAUGUAUUGUAAUAGUCUGCCACUCAGACUCAGGUCUGCCACUCACACUCAGUUAAGGUGAUAGAUAGAUUAGGAAGCCUUUGUUUUGAUGUAACUGAAGGUUUUGCACGUUCAAUAAAGGAACUGUGCCGUUCUGCUGCAGAUAGAAGAUAGGUGAAGUCAUUUUUUCAGGUUUUUUUUUCAGUGUAUGUUUGAUUGUGUUUUGUAUUUGACGUCUUUCGGCAUUCACCAAUACAUGAAUUAAUGGAUAUGAGCCGAGGACAGACUCCUUCCCGUCACCAGCAGGAAACAUGAAGCAUUUCAAACACAUUUCCGCAGUCGGCCAUCCCCUGUAAUCAGACUGUCAGUCAGAUCACAGCCAUUACACAGUAGUUAGGUUUCAAAGCAAGUUUGUCAUUCUACUGCGCAGACAUAGGCGAUUGCUCACACACACACACACACACACACACACACAC
This is a long non-coding RNA of Anguilla anguilla (European eel), 1817 nucleotides long. RefSeq lists it as uncharacterized. The record is from RefSeq and is a predicted model, not a curated record. Lineage: Eukaryota; Metazoa; Chordata; Actinopteri; Anguilliformes; Anguillidae. The transcript has 4 exons.